RNAcentral lists this ribosomal RNA (482 nucleotides) under uncultured bacterium. RNAcentral describes it as "partial 16S ribosomal RNA". It matches the Rfam family "Bacterial small subunit ribosomal RNA", at positions 30 to 507 of the family's 1533-position model. The record is from RNAcentral.
AUUGAACGCUGGCGGCAUGCUUUACACAUGCAAGUCGAACGGUAACAGGCCGCAAGGUGCUGACGAGUGGCGAACGGGUGAGCAAUGCAUCGGAACGUGCCCAGUCGUGGGGGAUAACUACUCGAAAGAGUAGCUAAUACCGCAUACGAUCUAUGGAUGAAAGCGGGGGACCGUAAGGCCUCGCGCGAUUGGAGCGGCCGAUGUCAGAUUAGGUAGUUGGUGGGGUAAAGGCUCACCAAGCCAACGAUCUGUAGCUGGUCUGAGAGGACGACCAGCCACACUGGAACUGAGACACAGCCCAGACUCCUACGGGAGGCAGCAGUGGGGAAUUUUGGACGAUGGGGGCAAGCCUGAUCCAGCAAUGCCGCGUGCAGGAAGAAGGCCUUAGGGUUGUAAACUGCUUUUGUACGGAACGAAACGGCUCUGGUUAAUACCCGAGGCUAAUGACGGUACCGUAAGAAUAAGCACCGGCUAACUACGUG